GCGUAUAUGUAGGCAUACAUGGCAGACAAUGGCAUAGGAACUUGCACAUUUUUGUUAUAUAUUUAGGCUAAACAAUGCUGGUAUAUCUCGUAAUUGAGGCAAGAUUUCAGCAAUACAGGAUUAGAAGACGGGGUUAGCACACACGGGUAGCCAUCAUUAGGAAAUACAAACACUGUUUGUUGUACCUAUGCCCCAUACGUUC
Non-coding RNA from Pelobates cultripes (western spadefoot toad), 202 nucleotides. Lineage: Eukaryota; Metazoa; Chordata; Amphibia; Anura; Pelobatidae. The record is from the annotation of a GenBank genome assembly.